GAGGGUAUAGCUCAGUGGUAAAGUGCGUGCUUAGCAUGCAUGAGGUCCUGGGUACAAUCCCCAGUACCUCA
Molecule: transfer RNA, 71 nt
Filed under: Camelus bactrianus (Bactrian camel)
Lineage: Eukaryota; Metazoa; Chordata; Mammalia; Artiodactyla; Camelidae
Also listed under: 1 other name
Rfam family: tRNA
About the family: Transfer RNA (tRNA) molecules are approximately 80 nucleotides in length. Their secondary structure includes four short double-helical elements and three loops (D, anti-codon, and T loops).
Source: Rfam by way of RNAcentral